UGAGGAAUUUUGCGCAAUGGGAGCAAUCCUGACGCAGCAACGCCGCGUGGGUGAAGUAGGCCUUCGGGUCGGAAAGCCCUGUCAGGUGGGAAGAAGGGUCCUAUCAGGAAAGGGGUGGGAUUUGACGGUACCACCAGAGGAAGCACCGGGUGACUCCGUGCCAGCAGCCGCGGUAAUAUGGAGGGGGCGAGCGUUAUGCGGAAUUACUGGGCGUAAAGCGCGUGUAGGCGGGGGAGCAAGUCUGAUGUGAAAGCCCCGGGCUUAACCCGGGAAGUGCAUUGGAAACUGUUUUUCUUGAGUACUGGAGAGGAAGGGGGAAUUCCCGGUGUAGAGGUGAAAUUCGUAGAGAUCGGGAGGAAUACCAGUGGCGAAGGCGCCCUUCUGGACGGUUACUGACGCUGAGACGCGAAAGCGUGGGGAGCAAACAG
This 428-nucleotide ribosomal RNA is filed under the name uncultured bacterium. Its description in RNAcentral is "bacterial SSU rRNA". It matches the Rfam family "Bacterial small subunit ribosomal RNA", at positions 355 to 775 of the family's 1533-position model. The record is from RNAcentral.